UAGCUCAGUCAGCUGAGCAUGGCGCUAACAACACCAAGGUCGUGGGUUCAAUUCCCAU
RNAcentral lists this transfer RNA (58 nucleotides) under Apaloderma vittatum (bar-tailed trogon). It matches the Rfam family "tRNA", at positions 8 to 63 of the family's 71-position model. From Rfam's summary of the family: Transfer RNA (tRNA) molecules are approximately 80 nucleotides in length. Their secondary structure includes four short double-helical elements and three loops (D, anti-codon, and T loops). Further hydrogen bonds mediate the characteristic L-shaped molecular structure. tRNAs have two regions of fundamental functional importance: the anti-codon, which is responsible for specific mRNA codon recognition, and the 3' end, to which the tRNAs corresponding amino acid is attached (by aminoacyl-tRNA synthetases). tRNAs cope with the degeneracy of the genetic code in two manners: having more than one tRNA (with a specific anti-codon) for a particular amino acid; and 'wobble' base-pairing, i.e. permitting non-standard base-pairing at the 3rd anti-codon position. The record is from Rfam by way of RNAcentral. Lineage: Eukaryota; Metazoa; Chordata; Aves; Trogoniformes; Trogonidae.